UCUCUCUUCGGCAGUAAGUAUACGAAAAUUAGAACAAUACAGAGAAGAUUACCAUGGCCACUGGGCAAGAAUGACAUGCAAAUUUGUGAAGUAUUCCAUUUUUAA
Trichechus manatus latirostris (Florida manatee) is the source of this 105-nucleotide small nuclear RNA. The record is from RefSeq and is a predicted model, not a curated record. Lineage: Eukaryota; Metazoa; Chordata; Mammalia; Sirenia; Trichechidae.